This 379-nucleotide long non-coding RNA is filed under the name Gossypium barbadense (sea-island cotton). Its description in RNAcentral is "long non-coding RNA (GBAR_LNC023029)". Lineage: Eukaryota; Viridiplantae; Streptophyta; Magnoliopsida; Malvales; Malvaceae. The record is from RNAcentral.
UGUAAGGCCCAAUUUUAUGCCCAGGCCCGAAUAUUAAAACAAUAAACAACAGUCCAAUUACAAAAUAACAAACCAACCCACUACCUAGCCCAACAGCAGAAACCCUAGCCCAAAUAAAAAAAAACAAAUGUUUGCAGCAGAAAACCCUAGGCGCAGCAUGCCUAGGGCGCGCCGCUCAGCCUCGUCUGUCCCCCUCACGCUCGCACGCCUCAGCCUUGGCCACCACGACGCCCACGCGUCUGACACUCCCACCUGCUCCACCGUGCCCACCACCUGCAACAAGAACAGACACCACAGCAAGGAAAGCAUGCAAAUGAUGGGGAAAACAAUAAACAAAAGGAACAAAACAAAUAUAUUGGCUUUAAAAGCCGAAAUCGGU